Molecule: unclassified non-coding RNA, 356 nt
Filed under: Hevea brasiliensis (rubber tree)
Lineage: Eukaryota; Viridiplantae; Streptophyta; Magnoliopsida; Malpighiales; Euphorbiaceae
Source: RNAcentral
CUUUCCUUGGGCUUUCUCUAAUAAGUGGCAGCUUUAUGUUCAACUUAUUUUAAAAAAUCAUGCUUUACCACAAUUAAUCUUCUCAUUAAUGCUCUCCUGAAAUAAUUGUAAGUUGGGCGGCUCUUGAUUGUGUAUAUACCAUGUAGGUGCUGCCUACUAUCAACUCUUAGUACAUAUCAUUUUGCAUCUUUCAUUUCAAAAUGUGAUAAGCAUUUGCAUAGUUGUGACUUGUGAGUGAUAUGUGUUGAUUGAUUGCAAACUGCAUAUAAACCAUUACCUCAAAUUGCAGCAGCUUUCAUUUGCUAAGUAAUAUCUUACUCUUAUAACAUUAUUGGUUUUGUGAUCCUUUGAAGGAU